CGCCGGAAGGCUGCAGCUCCUGCGGGUGCGCGCCCGGACUGCUGAACAGCCGGGGGCCAGUCAGGGCGGGUUCACCUCCUAGCAGAUUACUGGAAGGCAAAUGCAAAAUAUCACUAGCUGGCUAGCCUGAGGGCAAGGCUGCAUCCCAUCCCGUGUUGUCCGGCCUGGCACAGAACAUAGGUGCUGCGUGUAUGUCUGCUGGACCACUGACCUGAGG
This is a long non-coding RNA of Dama dama (fallow deer), 217 nucleotides long. RefSeq lists it as uncharacterized. The transcript has 3 exons. Lineage: Eukaryota; Metazoa; Chordata; Mammalia; Artiodactyla; Cervidae. The record is from RefSeq and is a predicted model, not a curated record.